Molecule: unclassified non-coding RNA, 558 nt
Filed under: plant metagenome
Description: partial contains small subunit ribosomal RNA and internal transcribed spacer 1
Rfam family: Group I catalytic intron (bases 43-345)
About the family: Group I catalytic introns are large self-splicing ribozymes. They catalyse their own excision from mRNA, tRNA and rRNA precursors in a wide range of organisms. The core secondary structure consists of 9 paired regions (P1-P9).
Source: RNAcentral
AAGUCGUAACAAGGUUACCUUCUGCAGCGCAGCUCCGGAGACCUUGCAACCCCCUAUAGGGAGGCAGCACGACAGUAAAUAAAGCUCGCCGCGUGCAAGUCGACCCGUUGGUCAGCAACACAAUCGAAUUGACGGGGACCUCCUAAAGCCUGCAACACCAACCGUCCGAGGAAACUCGGGCGAGGCCCUCACGGGAUGGUAAGAGAGUGCAGGAUGAACAAUGGACGAUCCGCAGCGAAGACCCUACCGGCGAGAGCCCACGGGUACCGUUCACAGACUAAGUGAUUGUGGGCGGGGCGUCAGGCCCCGUCUAAGAUAUAGUCGGUCUCUGCUCGAAAGGGCAGAGCCUAGCGCGUCCGUAGGUGAACCUGCGGAAGGAUCAUUAAAGAAUCGCCCCCGUUUUUUGAAAUGGGGUUUCUAUUCCCCAAACCGUGUAUACAUACCUUUGUUGCUUUGGCAGGCCGCCUUCUAGGCGUCGGCUCCGGCUGACUGCGCCUGCCAGAGGACCCAAACUCUUUUUGUUUCAGUGAUGUCUGAGUACUAUAUAAUAGUUAAAAC